AAGACUUCUCAUCUGUAAGAGGAUUUAGAUUCUUCUAUUUACAAGCAUUCUUCUGAGAAUCUUUCAUUCUACACACAGGUUUCUUUGGGGGUUCUGUUUUAUCUUUUUUCAUACACUGCCUACCAGAGAGAACAAGACUGGCAAAAGGACUCUGUCCUCAUAAAGCUCAGAGACGAUGAACAGAUAAACAAGGAAAUUACUUUUUACUUCAGUGCAAUUUACUGGAGAGACGAACUGUGCAAGUAGAGAUGCCUGAUGAGCGUCACACAACGUUUUCGGUGGAUAGUCACGACACUUGAGCCCACCACGAAAGCAACGGGAGGCAGCUGCAAUAUUCCAGCAGGACAGUGUGUACUACAAGUCCAAAAGCCCUGUGGAUUGUUAGUGAAGCUCAGGCAGAAUAAAGCAAAUAGAAGAACAAGGCAACUGAAGUCUAACGAUAUGGUGGAUAAGAAUCCGAUUUUAAAUCUUGACAUUGCUUGAGAAUGGGAAUAAUGUGUUACUUAUUUUUCGCACUAUGACUAACAAUUAUUAAACAUCUAAUAUGUACCAAACACAGUUCUGGACAUAUUCCCAUAUCUUAACUCGUUUAAUCUUGACAACAAUCCUUCUGAGGUAGGUUUUAUUACCCUUCAUUUCAGAUGAGGAAAUAAACUCACAGACAUUACUAAUUUGGGUGACUCAGACAGACACAGUUUCCAUUUUGUUCUUCCUUUCAGUUAACAUAUAUUUCUUAUGGACUUUCUGCUUGUUCCAGGCACUAUGCUUGGCACAGCGUCUACCAUUUCUCUUUCUACUAAACCAUAUAGCCGGUCUCUGACACCUAGCACAGUACCUAGGUCAUAUUAGGUUCUCAAUGAAGAUUCACUGAAUUAUUUGGUUAAUUUACUUGUCUCUAUAAAAUAAACAUUUACAUAGAAAUUUGGGUCCAGGUUUAUAUUAUCUUAAAACAUCUUGUAAUUCAACACUGUUAAAACAUGUAUUUUAAAAAUAGUUUUUCAAAAGAGAAAAUAUUUCAUUGAUUAUAGACAUCUAGGAAACCCAAGUCAGGUGGCAAAUACCUGCACUGAAAACUAACAGAAUCAUGGAAAGGAAGCCUGACACAGCAUGAUGCACAUUCUCUCAACUUUGUAUGUAAAUAAAUCCUACAUUCUUUAAUUGUCUCAAGAAUGCGUGAUUUGAAUACCUAAUUCUAUUACAAAUAUCACAUGGGAAUGGUCUUCCAAUGUUGGUACAUGUACUCAAGGCACAAUGCAUAGUGUUGACCAAAAAGCAAAAGCUUACCAUGAAAAAAGGUAAGUAAUGGAUGGAUUACUUUGUAGUCAGACAUGGAUAAGGUUGAAUGUUAGCUCUGCCAUUUACUAGCUACCUUAUUUUGAGGGAAGUUAUUUCACUUUUCUGAGGCUGUUUCUGUACUAUAAAAUACAGAUAAUUCUAACAGCAUCUACUGUGCACUCAGAGAUUAUGGUGAGGACUAAAUGACAGGAUGUAUGUGACCUGGGCACAUACCCAGGUCAGAGUUAGGGCUCAUUAACAGUUAGCUGUAUAUUGAAGUAGAAAAGUUAGGGAGGCUGGGAAAUAAAUUUUCUGGUAGGCAUGAGGUGGAGCAGACUACAUAAUGAUCACCUUCUUUUUACUGUCUAACCUUUAAAGCUCCUUAGUAUGCAGGAAAAUGCCUGCUCCUGAAUGAGCUGAUCUUCAUACCAGCGUAUUUAUCUUUCCUAAUUCAAAAACAGCCUCCUUAAAACACAAACAUACUUUUUCAUACUGUCAUUCAAAAUAGCUGCUUAUGAUAUAACUUAAUAGUAAAAAUGGGAAAAUUACUGAUUUCUUUUUGUACAAUUCUAUGUACCUUCAACAAAUUAUGCCUUUUCAUUUUCAAAGGAUAAUACCAAUUCCUUCCAAAGGCAUGAUCAAACCUAAAUAGUGGUUAAUUUGAACAUUUCUUUUAAGUCCCAGAAGAAGAAAUUACGUUAACCACUUCUUCAUAUCUUAAGUGAAAAAUGUGUAAGACAGUAACUGUCUUAAAUAAUUACAUUUCUGCUUAUUAGGUGUAAUUAAUAUUUUAUCCCCAAAUUAAGCCAAAAUAAUUCCUUAGAUAUAAGAUGCCUACACAACCAACAAAUCAAGCUUUUAAUUUCUGAGUUCUAGCCAAAAGGCCAUAUUGCCUAAGAAGAGCAGAAAUAAAUGUUUUUUUUUUUGUUGCCUUUUUAAAAACUUUGUAACCUACAUAUAAAUAGAAGGAAACUCAGAUUUCGAAUACAGACUUCUGAGGGAAAUCAAAUGAAUACAAAAUUUAUUGUAUACUAAGCAGUAACUCUUGUUUAUUCUAUCACUUGGGACUGUAUAUUCUUUUUAAAUUAGUAUAUCAAUUGUUCUGAAUAUAAUAAUUCAAUACAGUCAUCUUCCUAAGGGUCCAUUUUAAGCAUCAUUCAAAGCAAGUAGUAGUAAAAAGGAACAAAGCAUAAGCCACAGCAGUGCUAAAAAUAUGGUAAUUGAUUAAAACAAAAACAAUUAGCUGGGUGCAAUGGCUCAUACCUAUAAUCCCAGCAUUUUGGGAAGCCAAGGUAGGAGGAUGGCUUCAGCCCAGAAGUUCACGACCAGCCUGGGCAAGAUGGUGAGACCCUGCAUCUUAGAACUGAUGAAAGACGGUAACUUUUCUAUAUUUUUUCAAUAUGAUUUUAUUCUCACACAUCAACAACAUUCUAAGAUGUCUUACAAAGAAUAGCUUUUGUAAUCCCAUGGCCUCUAAUGCAAUACAGUGCUUUAUACACAUUCUAUGGGAAUUGCAGGUACCAUCUCCAUAGCCUAAGAGUAUGCAAUCUGAACCAAAUCCUUUUCUGUCCACAUCUUGAAGUGCUUCUUAAAUUCCUAAGAUCUAACUAGUUACUUCUCUAUUACCUGUUAGUGGCUCUGCUAUAGAAGAAAAGGUGAAAGUAAAUAUCUACAAAGAAAGACAGUGGGGAUAGUGACAACAAUAAUAACCACUAUUUACUAAGUGCUAUGUUCUAAACACUUUACAUGGACUUUGUUACUUAAUGUUUGCAAUUCUAUGAUGCAUACAGAAUCAGUCUUAUUACGAGAUGAACAAAUUUAGUUUCCAACUGAUAAUUGUGAAGAAAUAAAAAACUACAGGAGAGUGAUUUUUAAAUCAAAGGUGCAUAUGAAGAGAAGCAUGCUAAUGAAAUAAUCCUGCUAGCUUUUCUUUUUUGAUUUUGUAAAAUAUUAAUUGCUCUUGCACUGUUCUUUAUUGACAAUGG
This 3260-nucleotide long non-coding RNA is filed under the name Homo sapiens (human). RNAcentral describes it as "HSALNT0299600". Lineage: Eukaryota; Metazoa; Chordata; Mammalia; Primates; Hominidae. The record is from RNAcentral.